Long non-coding RNA from Phyllostomus discolor (pale spear-nosed bat), 759 nucleotides. RefSeq lists it as uncharacterized. The record is from RefSeq and is a predicted model, not a curated record. Lineage: Eukaryota; Metazoa; Chordata; Mammalia; Chiroptera; Phyllostomidae. The transcript has 3 exons.
UACUCUGCCAUGAAUAGCCAUUAGAGUGAGCGGAAGAGAGUUCAAUGGUGUGGUGGUAGCAUUCCACCCCACCUCCCAAUCCCUGCGUCCCAAGUGAUGAGUAGGGGGUUGGAGACACUGUUCACCCUACACCUCCCUCCAACCAUAGAGCCACUAAACCCCUCCCAUUUCACCCAGCCCUCUUCCCUGCUGCACCAGCCUGGUAAGAAAUAGGUACAGAAAAGGUGAUGCUGAUGCUACUGAUCUGGGGACCACACUGGAGACCCCACUGCUCUAUAAUAGCUAUUGAAAGGCUGCAUCCAAAAAGGUCCCUUGUGCAGCUCCUCUAGGUGUUCUUUACCUGAAUCUGAAUGCAUAGGAAGACAGGGUGGGGGCUCUCCUCACCCCUCAGAGACAGUCCUGUCCUCCUGCCCCCCACACUCAGCCUGCAACUUCCCUGUUUAAGCCCCUGCAGGGUUGAUGGUGGUCCCUGUGGCAAAUAUCCACCUAGAUUCAAAUUCCGGUGCAACCCCCUCGCUAGCUGUGUGCAUUCAAACCCAUCUCUUCCCUUUCGUAGGCCUGUAUCCUCAUCUGUGACGUGAGGAGUGGUUCAACCCUGUUGUUCCCAAAGUGCAGCAGCCUUGAAGUGAUCACAGGAGAUUCAGCCCCUGGCUCCGUGUAAACUAUAAGUAAUCCAUCUGUGUGUAACAGAUUGACUACGUGUAACUGUGAUUGUUGGGGGAUGAAUAAAGUACCAGUGAAUUUUAAUGAUGUGAUCUA